UAUGGUGGCGACAGCCAAUGGGUCACACCUGUUCCCAUCUCGAACACAGAAGUUAAGCCAUUGAACGCCGACGAUAGUGUCAAAGCGAAAAUAGGAAGCUGCCAGAC
Molecule: ribosomal RNA, 107 nt
Filed under: Erysipelotrichaceae bacterium RD49
Lineage: Bacteria; Bacillati; Bacillota; Erysipelotrichia; Erysipelotrichales; Erysipelotrichaceae
Source: RNAcentral